This 1727-nucleotide long non-coding RNA is filed under the name Anthonomus grandis grandis. Its description in RNAcentral is "uncharacterized LOC126750598". The record is from RNAcentral. Lineage: Eukaryota; Metazoa; Arthropoda; Insecta; Coleoptera; Curculionidae.
CUGUGCCUGUCGGUUCAUAAGAGAUAGAAUUAUUUUUGAUAACCUUACGAUUAAGCCUUUUGGCAUCUAAAAUUUUAAUAUUGUCUGUUCUACAACAUUCCAACAAUUCUUUAUCUUUAAUUUCAAGAUCUAUUUGUCUAACUAAUCCCUUGCUAAGGAAACAUAAAAAAAAUUCUAAAUUUAAAGAUCAAAAAGUAUGGAUAUUGACCAAAUAAGUUAUAAUCUUGUUCUUUUUAGGAUUGAGCUUAUUGCUCCAUUUCUGACAAAGGUGUUUAAUUUAUCUCUACACAAAGGAGAAUGUCCACAAAUAUCAAAAACUUUCAUUAUCAAGUCCCUACCAAAGCCAAAUAGAAUUGAAAAUCUUUCAAAGCUAAGACCAAUUUUUCUUUUACCCAUCUUUGCAAAAUGUUUGAAUUAAUAGUGUUGGAUAUGUUGCUUGAAUUUGUAAAUAUGCAUAAAAUUAUACCCCCAGGACAGUCUGGUUUUCGGAAAAAUCAUGGAACAGCUACAGCCCUGGCAAAAGUAACUGCCAAGAUAUCAACCAAUAUAGACUCCUCUUGUGUUUCUUGCCUGAGAGAUUUCAGUAAGGCCUUUGACCUGAGAAAAUGAAAUCAUGAGAUGCUGUUGGCUAAAAUGAGCUUCUUCGAUGUUUCAGUGAGUGUUUGCAAAUGGUUCCAAAGUUAUCUUCAACUGAGGACACAGAUUGUGGAGCUGGAUGGAGCAAGAUCUAAAUCUGCUGUCACUGGUUAUGGAGUGCCCUAGGGUAGUAUCCUCGGUGCUUUAUUAUUUAGCAUCUAACCUAGCUGCUAUCCGGAUUUUCUCCUCAUAAUGCAUGUCAAUGUAUGCAGCAAAUUAAUGAGGACUUACACUCAAUAUUUAAAUGGUCAAGACUAACAAGAGCGUAUACUUACUCAUAGGUUCUAACACAUUAAAAAAUAAUUUCUUCAAUCUAAAUUCACUACUUUGCAUAUCAAUAACAGUGUCGUUCCUUGUUCACCAUCAGCAAAAAUUCUUGGUGUCAUUUUUGAUCAGGUCCUAAUUUUUCAGGUACAUGUCAAUAAAAAAUUAUCAUGCAUGUACACUUUACUUAAAAGUUUGUAUCAAUUUAAAUAUUAUUUGCCCAAAAAUAUCAAAUUAAUGCUUGUGGAGGCUCGUUUGGUCACAGCUAGAUUACUGCAAUGUUGUUUUUUACAAUUACCUCACUCUUGAAAUGAAGAACAAAAUUCAGUUAGCUCAAAAUGCCUCUAUGAGAUUUGUUUUCAACAUACAAAAAUUUGAUCACAUAACACCAACAUAUGUUGACAAUAAAAUACUAAAAUAUGAAAGGAGAGCAGGUUUACAUUUUGAUUAUUUCACAGCAAGACAAAAUUUACAUAGUCACCGCCUAAGAAACAUAUAAGGCUUCAAAUAUCAGUGCAUAGAACUGAAGGUUUUAAAAACUCAUUUGCCUACCAGGGUAUAUUUUUGUUAAACUCUGAAGUAUACAACUUAAUAAGAUCAUGCUCACUUCCCACUUUCGAGAAGAAUUACAAGGCUUUUCUGUUAGAUUCACAUAUACCUUUAUUGUAAUGUUAAGUAAUUUUAAGAAAUGAGCUUAGUAUAAAGUAGUAUUGUAUUGAAACAGCCCACUAAUACUGUAGUUUUUAGGUAGCAUAGAAGAACACAUUAUGUGAAUGUUACCUUUUAUGUAAUAUUUUGUUGUUGCAUAAUAAAUGUUUAUUUAUUUA